RNAcentral lists this transfer RNA (29 nucleotides) under Paratrichocladius sp. 2 MEC-2013. Its description in RNAcentral is "partial tRNA-Ser". Lineage: Eukaryota; Metazoa; Arthropoda; Insecta; Diptera; Chironomidae. The record is from RNAcentral.
UUAAUCAAUGAGCUUGAAAAUAAGCAUAU